Molecule: ribosomal RNA, 2150 nt
Filed under: human gut metagenome
Description: bacterial LSU rRNA
Rfam family: Bacterial large subunit ribosomal RNA
Source: RNAcentral
CCGGUGAGCUACGGCUCGCCGGGGUUGAGGACUGCAUUUAGUCUCAAUGGUCUAUCCGAACUACCUGGAAAGGUAGGCAACACAGUGUAAAAGCCACGUAGGUUAAAGACCGGAGAGAUGAGCAGUAUCCAGAGUACCACGAGGCACGAGGAAUCUUGUGGGAAGCCGGGGGGACCACCCUCCAACCCUAAACACUGAAUGGCGACCGAUAGCGCAUAGUACCGUGAGGGAAAGGUGAAAAGAACCCCGGGAGGGGAGUGAAAGAGAACCUGAAACCGUAUGUCUACAAGCAGUCGGAGCGAAAGCGACGGCGUGCCUAUUGAAGAAUGAACCAACGAGUUACGUGCACUAGCGAGGUUAAGUGGAAGACACGGAGCCGAAGCGAAAGCGAGUCUUAAGAGGGCGGAUAGUUAGUGUACGUAGACCCGAAACCGCAGUGAUCUACCCAUGUCCAGGUUGAAGCGCAGGUAAAAUUGCGUGGAGGACCGAACCUGUGAGCGUUGAAAAGCUUUAGGAUGAGAUGUGGGUAGAGGUGAAAUUCCAAUCGAACGCGGAGAUAGCUGGUUCUCCCCGAAAUAGCUUUAGGGCUAGCCUCAAGUAGUAAGUAUAGGCGGUAGAGCACUGAUCGGGCUAGGGGCCAUAAAGGUUACCGAACCCUGUCAAACUCCGAAUGGUUAUACUGUAGAGCUUGGGAGUCAGACUACGAGUGAUAAGAUCCGUGGUCAAAAGGGAAACAGCCCAGACCACCAGCUAAGGUCCCCAAUGUCGUACUAAGUGGAAAAGGAUGUGGGGUCUCUAAAACAACCAGGAUGUUGGCUUAGAAGCAGCCACCAUUUAAAGAGUGCGUAAUAGCUCACUGGUCGAGAGACCCUGCGCCGAAGAUUACCGGGGCUAAAGUACGAAACCGAAGCUGUGGCUACGACAUAUGUCGUGGGGUAGGGGAGCGUUCUGUGAGGGCUGAAGUCGUUCUGUAAGGAACGGUGGACUUCACAGAAGUGAGAAUGUUGGUAUGAGUAGCGAAAAGAAUGGUGAGAAUCCAUUCCACCGAAAGCAUAAGGAUUCCUGGGCAACGAUCGUCGUCCCAGGGUAAGUCGGGACCUAAUCCGAGGCAUGGAGCGUAGGAGAUGGACAACUGGCAGAUAUUCCAGUACCGGUAAUGAUUGUUUGAGCGAUGGAGUGACACAGGAGGGCAGGCAGGCAGGAGAUUGGUUGUUCCUGUACAAGCGUGUAGGAUGGGACGCAGGCAAAUCCGCGUCCUGUGAGUCUGAGGCGUGAUGUGGAGGUUCCGGAAACGGAACUGAAGCUGCUGACCCCACACUGUCGAGAAAAGCUUCUAGUUAGAGAAUUACCGCCCGUACCGUAAACCGACACAGGUAUGCGGGGAGAGAAUCCUAAGGUGCGCGGGAGAACCCUCGUUAAGGAACUCGGCAAAAUGUACCCGUAACUUCGGGAUAAGGGUAGCCGCUGUUGUGAAGUCUGAACAGACGGAGCAUGAGGCGGUCGCAGAGAAGAGGCCCAAGCGACUGUUUACCACAAACACAGGUGCCUGCUAAAGAGAAAUCUGACGUAUAGGUGCUGACACCUGCCCAGUGCCGGAAGGUUAAGGAAGGAUGUCCGGAGCAAUCCAAAGCAUUCGACCGAAGCCCCGGUGAACGGCGGCCGUAACUAUAACGGUCCUAAGGUAGCGAAAUUCCUUGUCGGGUAAGUUCCGACCCGCACGAAAGGUGUAACGAUUUGGGCACUGUCUCAACGAGGGACCCGGUGAAAUUGAAGUACCUGUGAAGAUGCAGGUUACCCGCGACUGGACAGAAAGACCCCAUGGAGCUUUACUGUAACCUGACAUUGGGUUCUGAUACAUCACGUACAGGAUAGGUGGGAGGCAUGGAAGCGAGGACGCUAGUCUUCGUGGAGCCGCCGUUGGGAUACCACCCUUGAUGUAUCGGAAUUCUAACCGUAGGAGUAACGAAACUCGGGACAGUGUCAGGCGGGCAGUUUGACUGGGGCGGUCGCCUCCCAAAGAGUAACGGAGGCGCCCAAAGGUUCCCUCAGCGCGGCCGGAAAUCGCGCGAAGAGUGUAAAGGCAGAAGGGAGCUUGACUGAGAGCCAAACACGGCAAUCAGGUACGAAAGUAGGGCUUAGUGAUCCGGUGG